GCCGGGAUAGCUCAGUUGGUAGAGCAGGGGACUGA
Molecule: transfer RNA, 35 nt
Filed under: Brachiolejeunea laxifolia
Lineage: Eukaryota; Viridiplantae; Streptophyta; Jungermanniopsida; Porellales; Lejeuneaceae
Also listed under: 6 other names
Description: partial tRNA-Phe
Source: RNAcentral